CCAUGUAUAGCAUAGAAUAAAUUUUUAAAUUUUUUUGGUAUUGAUUAUUUUGAGAUGGAUAAAAUUUUUUAAUUCAAAAACAGAGCUGUAUGAUUAUGAUUUCAAACCACAUUUUGGCUGAUGCAUAGCUUCCUUGCUCUUUGUGGCGUCUGUUGUAUCAUGGUUAAAAAUAGAGUUUUUCUUUUUCAGCUGACUCCUGCAACCUGUUGCUUUUUUAGUACUAUCCCAACUCUCAUGUACUACUUAUAAUGAUUUUCGUUUUUCUAACAAAUCAUAUGACGAAUAUGUCGGUCAGUAUAUGAGCGCUUGGAUUCCGAUCCUCUGCUUGAUAUUUUACGCCUUAAGCUAUUUCCAUGGCUUUGAUUCCUACAAGAGUAGAAAAUGUUCGUUGCACCUGAACUUAGCCCUUCCUUGCUUAUUUUCUUGUGUUUUUUGAUUUCAAGUGAGUAUUGGGGUCGAACCUACAUAGUACUUACGUAUUACUUGUAUGCUCCAUACAAUCCAACAGCGCGAAGCCCCUAUGAUUGGGCAUUAAAUUAAUCACUUGAUAAGAAAUCAUUAUCAACGCAAUUAGGUUUUACAAUUUAAUUUCAAUAACCGCUGCAUAUAUAUGUACAUACUUUCUAUAAGUAGUGCCAGAAAUUCAAAAUUCAAUAAACAACAAUUAUGGUAGGGAAAAAUCAAUCAGCUAUCACUAAUUAAUAAAUCCGUCAUAAUAUUCCAGUGAAAGCUGCGACUUGUUGUUAUUCCGCGAACAAAUUUUCUUGACUACGUGCUCUCAAAUAACAACACACAUUUAUACAUUCUCAAGCUUAGUGGCGAGUAGCAGCCCUUAAUCCACAACUAUGCACGUAGACGCGUAUAAAACCGUUAAAGUCAAGCGCUCGUAAGAUUAGUUGUAUUUGACAGCGCAUGCUGCUCAGAAGUAGUUGUUAUUGCGUUAGUACUUAGACAGUGAGCUUAGCGCAAUCGCACUUACAUACAUACAUACAUACAAACUUGCAUGCGUGUCUAAGAUGAUGAAAUUCUGCGGUGUUUUUCUAUUUUUAUGGGUUUGCCUGGCAGUUGAGGCACGCCCACAGGACAUUGUCAUACAUACCUCGGUGAGCGCAACAGCGGUUGCAUCGGUGGAUCAGGCCAGCAAUGUGCGGACUUUCAACAAUGUUGCCACCGCAAGUGCCGUGCAAAAUAAUGUCUAUCAUAUUUUACUGCCACAAGGAUAAUUAGAUAUUACUUAUAAUAAUAUAUUUAAGAGCGAAAGAGAAAAGAAAUAUUUUUUUUUUAUUUUAAUUUUUUUAGCAAAUAUUAUGGUUUAAAAUACUUAAUUUAUUAUUAAAAGUAAUAAUGAAGUACAAAAAUGAAAAUAUUUUGAAAAAACA
Long non-coding RNA from Bactrocera dorsalis (oriental fruit fly), 1379 nucleotides. RefSeq lists it as uncharacterized. The record is from RefSeq and is a predicted model, not a curated record. NCBI's taxonomy places the organism in Eukaryota, Metazoa, Arthropoda, Insecta, Diptera, Tephritidae. The transcript has 2 exons.